Molecule: long non-coding RNA, 555 nt
Filed under: Crocodylus porosus (Australian saltwater crocodile)
Lineage: Eukaryota; Metazoa; Chordata; Crocodylia; Crocodylidae
Description: lncRNA (ENSCPRG00005007444.1)
Source: RNAcentral
AUGACACAUGUUUUUGAAGAUGACCUAGCACCACAAACUAUUGAAGUAAUGAAUACUCGCAUAUUAGAAAUAAUAAAAGUAUUUGAAAGACAGACAAAUAAGUUACAAAGAAUUUUAAAUGAACAAGAUGUUCUUGAGGGUAAAUACCAGAAGAUAGAAAAUGAAUAUCAGAUACUAGCAGAAGAGAAACAGAUAAUGGAGAAUGAACUUCAGAAGAUGAAAGAGACAGAAAAAAUGGAGGUUAAUAAAGAAAAAAUAAUGCCAGAACUUAGAAAGAAGAUUUCAGCAUUCUUGCAACCUUCUGAAAGUGAGACUCUUGAAGCAGCAAUGGCAAAAAUUCAAACAGGAGGAAAACCAAAGCAAGUUUCAUCUCAGGCUAAAAAACAGAGUGAAAAUCAGAAAAUGAAAGAAGAUUUGCUUAAAGCUCAGGAAUGCCUUCAAGUUCUUGAAAGAGAGAAGAAAAGCCUUGAGGAAAAGUUACAGAAAGCUUUAAAGGACAAGCAAAGAAACCCACAGCACUGCCGUUUCAGAAGACCAAGAAAAGUCACUUCAUGA